Molecule: non-coding RNA, 672 nt
Organism: Paramuricea clavata
Lineage: Eukaryota; Metazoa; Cnidaria; Anthozoa; Malacalcyonacea; Plexauridae
Source: the annotation of a GenBank genome assembly
AUCACAUCUACAACCCUUCCAGAGACAGACCUACCGUACUAACUAUACUUUUCUCGAAGAUGAAACACUACUUAGGUGCGCAGUUGUGUCCGAGGACAGAACUUAAUCGAAUAACUUUACAAUACCUAUGGCGGAUAAAGAAACAAGUUUUAUUUUUCUUUGAUCGUUCAAAGAGGGAACAACAACCAAAGUUUGCGUGGAGUAGUGAAGCAAAUAUAUUAGCUCCAUUUGACAUCCAAACUUUCAAAGAUCCCGAAAAAUGGAUUGAAUUUUUGACAGUGCAAUACAGGUCUAAACGUCCACAAAAUAUGUUUUAUAUAACACAGGGCGUUCUAUUGCCACAUUGGAUAGAAGUCUUAGCCGGACAAACUGUUAAUGCCACCUUAAAGGCUUGGAUAUCGCAAACAGCAUCUUCACGUUUAGUCGAAUGGAUGAAAACACGAAAAGGGGGACCUAAUGGGAUAAAUAUUGUCAUUGCAGAUUACAUAGAGGAGGACGACUUUGUACCCACUGUAUUGCAUUUAAAUGGCAGCGGUAGAACUGCUUUGCAUAUGCGCGUUUACGUUAUAUUGCUAGUUUUGUACGUUCUAGUGUACGUUCUAAGAUUUUAGAUUUUGGGAGUGUUUCUAAAUUUUCAGGGUGUGUACAGUACAUAGCACUCCAAUUACCCGG